RNAcentral lists this ribosomal RNA (517 nucleotides) under Salmonella enterica subsp. enterica serovar Infantis. RNAcentral's name for it is "partial 23S ribosomal RNA". It matches the Rfam family "Bacterial large subunit ribosomal RNA", at positions 711 to 1228 of the family's 2925-position model. The record is from RNAcentral. RNAcentral also lists the same sequence under 3 other names. Lineage: Bacteria; Pseudomonadati; Pseudomonadota; Gammaproteobacteria; Enterobacterales; Enterobacteriaceae.
AGACCCGAAACCCGGUGAUCUAGCCAUGGGCAGGUUGAAGGUUGGGUAACACUAACUGGAGGACCGAACCGACUAAUGUUGAAAAAUUAGCGGAUGACCUGUGGCUGGGGGUGAAAGGCCAAUCAAACCGGGAGAUAGCUGGUUCUCCCCGAAAGCUAUUUAGGUAGCGCCUCGUGAAUUCAUCUCCGGGGGUAGAGCACUGUUUCGGCUAGGGGGCCAUCCCGGCUUACCAACCCGAUGCAAACUGCGAAUACCGGAGAAUGUUAUCACGGGAGACACACGGCGGGUGCUAACGUCCGUCGUGAAGAGGGAAACAACCCAGACCGCCAGCUAAGGUCCCAAAGUCAUGGUUAAGUGGGAAACGAUGUGGGAAGGCCCAGACAGCCAGGAUGUUGGCUUAGAAGCAGCCAUCAUUUAAAGAAAGCGUAAUAGCUCACUGGUCGAGUCGGCCUGCGCGGAAGAUGUAACGGGGCUAAACCAUGCACCGAAGCUGCGGCAGCGAACGUAUCACUUAAAG